This 229-nucleotide ribosomal RNA is filed under the name uncultured bacterium. Its description in RNAcentral is "partial 16S ribosomal RNA". It matches the Rfam family "Bacterial small subunit ribosomal RNA", at positions 568 to 796 of the family's 1533-position model. The record is from RNAcentral.
UGCGUAGGCGGACUAAUAAGUCAGUGGUGAAAUCUCUCGGCUCAACCGGGAAACUGCCAUUGAUACUGUUAGUCUUGAGUUCGGUUGAGGUAGGCGGAAUGUGUAAUGUAGCGGUGAAAUGCUUAGAUAUUACACAGAACACCAAUUGCGUAGGCAGCUUACUAGACCGACACUGACGUUGAGGCACGAAAGCGUGGGUAGCGAACAGGAUUAGAUACCCUGGUAGUCC